This 440-nucleotide ribosomal RNA is filed under the name uncultured bacterium. Its description in RNAcentral is "partial 16S ribosomal RNA". It matches the Rfam family "Bacterial small subunit ribosomal RNA", at positions 338 to 795 of the family's 1533-position model. The record is from RNAcentral.
CCUACGAGUGGCUGCAGUAGGGAAUAUUGCUCAAUGGGGGAAACCCUGAAGCAGCAACGCCGCGUGGAGGAUGAAGGUUUUCGGAUUGUACACUCCUUUUGUUAGAGAAGAUACUGACGGUAUCUAACGAAUAAGCACCGGCUAACUACGUGCCAGCAGCCGCGGUAAUACGGAGGGUGCAAGCGUUACUCGGAAUCACUGGGCGUAAAGGGCGCGUAGGCGGGAUAGCAAGUCAGAUGUGAAAUCCUAUGGCUUAACCAUAGAACUGCAUUUGAAACUGUUAUUCUAGAGUAUGGGAGAGGUAGGUGGAAUUCUUGGUGUAGGGGUAAAAUCCGUAGAGAUCAAGAGGAAUACUCAUUGCGAAGGCGACCUGCUAGAACAUAACUGACGCUGAUGCGCGAAAGCGUGGGGAGCAAACAGGAUUAGAUACCCGAGUAGUC